GUCCUCAAUGGACUCCUAAACCACUUAACCGAUUAUAAUAAAAUACGCACACCAUGUGCAGUUCGAUCCAACUUGAGAGAUUCUUCUCGUGGUCACAAUGUUUGUCCUCAAUGGACUCCUAAACCACUUAACCGAUUAUAAUAAAAUACGCACACCAUGUGCAGUUCGAUCCAACUUGAGAGAUAGGAUAGUUUAAAUCUCAAAUUAUAGUCGCAAUUUUAAUUUAUUGCUAAUUAUUUGUCUGUUAUUAUUUGACAGUCACAAUUAUCUGUUAACUCCAAAUGAUUCUAACAGUGUCGAUACCUUUCGACUGGGUUGAGUAAGUAAUCAAUAGAUGGUGCUGCUAUGGUAAAUCUACGAACGUGUCAUAUAAGCUACAUUUUAACAGCAUAAUUACCACGUGUUGUUGACGCUAUAAAAUUAAUUAAAUUUAUUUUGUAGUGAACGAAAUACCGUACAAUUCAAUUAUUUCCACUUUUUAAAUUUUUGGUGUUAGCAUAGCCGGUCACGUGUUACUUAGACUGAAGUGUAAAUUGCAUUCAUAUUAUAAUGAAGAUAAUACAGUGAAAUUAAUCCUGUUUUUUUACUUAUUUGUGCUUCAUUGAUCAAAACUUUAUAAUUUAAUUUAAUUUGAAUAUAUGUAUUCAAAUGCCACGAAAAAAAUCUAACCUCAACAACGCGAGCACCAGAGAGGCACGACGCAAACGUAUUAAAAGAGCCCAUCAGUUGGCAGAACAAAUUGAAUCAAGAAAUCCAGCUCAAAGAAUCAGGAUAGCAGAAGGUCAUGCACAAGAAUCUCAAGAACAGUGUAACGAACGUCUUCAAGAGAAUAUCAUAAGAACAAGAGCAGCAGGAGAACGAGACAUAGCCACAGUAGGAGCACAGGAACAAUAAUCCCCUAUUAUUCUCCUCCGUAAUUUGAAUCCACCUCAAUUAUGUAACGGUACGCGUUUGGUCAUCAAAAAGAUCACCGGAAACAUUCUUGAAGCAACCAUUUUGGCUGGUUUAAAGGAAAAGUGGUCCUGCUGCCACGUAUUCCGAUGAUACCAUCAGAUUCUACCAUACCCUUCAAAAGGCUACAGUUUCCAAUUCGUUUAGCUUUCGCCAUGUCUAUAAAUAAAUCUCAAGGUCAAACAAUGUCCAUUUGUGGUUUAGAUUUGGAAAAUCCAUGUUUUUCUCAUGGGCAACUAUAUGUUGCGUGUUCACGUGUUGGGAAACCGUCGAAUCUAUUUGUGUUAGCUAAAGACAGGUUAACCAAAAACAUUGUGCACCGAUUGGUGUUAAAUUAAAUUGAAAUUGAAAGUAU
Molecule: long non-coding RNA, 1306 nt
Filed under: Neodiprion lecontei (redheaded pine sawfly)
Lineage: Eukaryota; Metazoa; Arthropoda; Insecta; Hymenoptera; Diprionidae
Description: uncharacterized LOC124293147
Source: RNAcentral